AGAAGAGUAAUAUUUUAAAUUCUAAAUUAGUAGUAGUUAUGUUCUUGAAAAUUAAUAAAGAUGGCGGUAUCUUAGUCCAUUCAGAGGAACCUGUCCUGUAAUUGAUAAUCCACGUUCUAAUUUACUUAUUUUAUAUAAUUUAUAUAUCGCUGUAGCUUUGAAUAUUUCUUUUGAAUUUUAAUAUUCAGGAUUUUUUUAGAAAAAAACUCAAGUCAAGAUGUAGUUUAUAAAUAAGGAGAGAUGGGUUACAUUAUUAUUAUAUUUGGAUAUAGGUUUGUGAAAUUUGUUGAAAUUGGAUUUGAUAGUAAUUUAGAAUAGGUUUUCUAGAUGAUUGAGCUCUUGGAU
Molecule: ribosomal RNA, 345 nt
Filed under: Premnobius cavipennis
Lineage: Eukaryota; Metazoa; Arthropoda; Insecta; Coleoptera; Curculionidae
Description: partial 12S small subunit ribosomal RNA
Source: RNAcentral